RNAcentral lists this ribosomal RNA (1125 nucleotides) under Escherichia coli. RNAcentral describes it as "partial 23S ribosomal RNA". It matches the Rfam family "Bacterial large subunit ribosomal RNA", at positions 419 to 1549 of the family's 2925-position model. The record is from RNAcentral. Lineage: Bacteria; Pseudomonadati; Pseudomonadota; Gammaproteobacteria; Enterobacterales; Enterobacteriaceae.
GGGACACGUGGUAUCCUGUCUGAAUAUGGGGGGACCAUCCUCCAAGGCUAAAUACUCCUGACUGACCGAUAGUGAACCAGUACCGUGAGGGAAAGGCGAAAAGAACCCCGGCGAGGGGAGUGAAAAAGAACCUGAAACCGUGUACGUACAAGCAGUGGGAGCCUCUUAAUGGGGUGACUGCGUACCUUUUGUAUAAUGGGUCAGCGACUUAUAUUCUGUAGCAAGGUUAACCGAAUAGGGGAGCCGAAGGGAAACCGAGUCUUAACUGGGCGUUAAGUUGCAGGGUAUAGACCCGAAACCCGGUGAUCUAGCCAUGGGCAGGUUGAAGGUUGGGUAACACUAACUGGAGGACCGAACCGACUAAUGUUGAAAAAUUAGCGGAUGACUUGUGGCUGGGGGUGAAAGGCCAAUCAAACCGGGAGAUAGCUGGUUCUCCCCGAAAGCUAUUUAGGUAGCGCCUCGUGAAUUCAUCUCCGGGGGUAGAGCACUGUUUCGGCAAGGGGGUCAUCCCGACUUACCAACCCGAUGCAAACUGCGAAUACCGGAGAAUGUUAUCACGGGAGACACACGGCGGGUGCUAACGUCCGUCGUGAAGAGGGAAACAACCCAGACCGCCAGCUAAGGUCCCAAAGUCAUGGUUAAGUGGGAAACGAUGUGGGAAGGCCCAGACAGCCAGGAUGUUGGCUUAGAAGCAGCCAUCAUUUAAAGAAAGCGUAAUAGCUCACUGGUCGAGUCGGCCUGCGCGGAAGAUGUAACGGGGCUAAACCAUGCACCGAAGCUGCGGCAGCGACACUAUGUGUUGUUGGGUAGGGGAGCGUUCUGUAAGCCUGUGAAGGUGGCCUGUGAGGGUUGCUGGAGGUAUCAGAAGUGCGAAUGCUGACAUAAGUAACGAUAAAGCGGGUGAAAAGCCCGCUCGCCGGAAGACCAAGGGUUCCUGUCCAACGUUAAUCGGGGCAGGGUGAGUCGACCCCUAAGGCGAGGCCGAAAGGCGUAGUCGAUGGGAAACAGGUUAAUAUUCCUGUACUUGGUGUUACUGCGAAGGGGGGACGGAGAAGGCUAUGUUGGCCGGGCGACGGUUGUCCCGGUUUAAGCGUGUAGGCUGGUUUUCCAGGCAAAUCCGGAAAA